AGUGAACGCUGGCGGUAGGCCUAACACAUGCAAGUCGAACGGCAGCACAGUAAGAGCUUGCUCUUACGGGUGGCGAGUGGCGGACGGGUGAGGAAUACAUCGGAAUCUACUUUUUCGUGGGGGAUAACGUAGGGAAACUUACGCUAAUACCGCAUACGACCUACGGGUGAAAGCAGGGGAUCUUCGGACCUUGCGCGAUUGAAUGGGCCGAUGUCGGAUUAGCUAGUUGGCGGGGUAAAGGCCCACCAAGGCGACGAUCCGUAGCUGGUCUGAGAGGAUGAUCAGCCACACUGGAACUGAGACACGGUCCAGACUCCUACGGGAGGCAGCAGUGGGGAAUAUUGGACAAUGGGCGCAAGCCUGAUCCAGCUAUACCGCGUGGGUGAAGAAGGCCUUCGGGUUGUAAAGCCCUUUUGUUGGGAAAGAAAAGCAGCAGGUUAAUACCCCGCUGUUCUGACGGUACCCAAAGAAUAAGCACCGGCUAACUUCGUG
This 492-nucleotide ribosomal RNA is filed under the name uncultured bacterium. RNAcentral's name for it is "partial 16S ribosomal RNA". It matches the Rfam family "Bacterial small subunit ribosomal RNA", at positions 29 to 507 of the family's 1533-position model. The record is from RNAcentral.